RNAcentral lists this ribosomal RNA (497 nucleotides) under uncultured bacterium. Its description in RNAcentral is "partial 16S ribosomal RNA". It matches the Rfam family "Bacterial small subunit ribosomal RNA", at positions 28 to 507 of the family's 1533-position model. The record is from RNAcentral.
GAUGAACGCUGGCGGCGUGCCUAAUACAUGCAAGUCGAGCGAACAGACGAGGAGCUUGCUCCUCUGACGUUAGCGGCGGACGGGUGAGUAACACGUGGAUAACCUACCUAUAAGACUGGGAUAACUUCGGGAAACCGGAGCUAAUACCGGAUAAUAUAUUGAACCGCAUGGUUCAAUAGUGAAAGACGGUUUUGCUGUCACUUAUAGAUGGAUCCGCGCCGCAUUAGCUAGUUGGUAAGGUAACGGCUUACCAAGGCAACGAUGCGUAGCCGACCUGAGAGGGUGAUCGGCCACACUGGAACUGAGACACGGUCCAGACUCCUACGGGAGGCAGCAGUAGGGAAUCUUCCGCAAUGGGCGAAAGCCUGACGGAGCAACGCCGCGUGAGUGAUGAAGGUCUUCGGAUCGUAAAACUCUUUUAUUAGGGAAGAACAAAUGUGUAAGUAACUAUGCACGUCUUGACGGUACCUAAUCAGAAAGCCACGGCUAACUACGUG